GGAGGGGUGCCUGAGUGGUUGAAAGGGACGGUUUUGAAAACCGUUGACGGGGUAACUCGUCCGUGGGUUCGAAUCCCACCUCCUCCG
Molecule: transfer RNA, 87 nt
Filed under: bacterium
Lineage: Bacteria
Description: tRNA-Ser
Rfam family: tRNA
About the family: Transfer RNA (tRNA) molecules are approximately 80 nucleotides in length.
Source: RNAcentral